This 468-nucleotide ribosomal RNA is filed under the name uncultured bacterium. Its description in RNAcentral is "partial 16S ribosomal RNA". It matches the Rfam family "Bacterial small subunit ribosomal RNA", at positions 28 to 507 of the family's 1533-position model. The record is from RNAcentral.
GACGAACGCUGGCGGCGUGCUUAACACAUGCAAGUCGAACGGAAAGGCCCUGCUUUUGUGGGGUGCUCGAGUGGCGAACGGGUGAGUAACACGUGAGUAACCUGCCCUUGACUUUGGGAUAACUUCAGGAAACUGGGGCUAAUACCGGAUAGGAGCUCCUGCUGCAUGGUGGGGGUUGGAAAGUUUCGGCGGUUGGGGAUGGACUCGCGGCUUAUCAGCUUGUUGGUGGGGUAGUGGCUUACCAAGGCUUUGACGGGUAGCCGGCCUGAGAGGGUGACCGGCCACAUUGGGACUGAGAUACGGCCCAGACUCCUACGGGAGGCAGCAGGGGGGAAUAUUGCACAAUGGGCGGAAGCCUGAUGCAGCAACGCCGCGUGCGGGAUGACGGCCUUCGGGUUGUAAACCGCUUUCGCCUGUGACGAAGCGUGAGUGACGGUAAUGAGUAAAGAAGCACCGGCUAACUACGUG